Molecule: ribosomal RNA, 271 nt
Filed under: uncultured bacterium
Lineage: Bacteria
Description: partial 16S ribosomal RNA
Rfam family: Bacterial small subunit ribosomal RNA
Source: RNAcentral
AAUGAACGUUGGCGGCGUGGAUUAGGCAUGCAAGUCGCGCGAUAAGUGUAGCAAUACACGGACAGCGGCGAAAGGGAGAGUAAUACAUAGGUACGUACCCUUGGGACUGGGAUAGCGGCGGGAAACUGCCGGUAAUACCAGAUGACGUUUCCGAACCAAAGGUGUGAAUCCGCCUGAGGAGCGGCCUAUGUCCUAUUAGCUUGUUGGCGAGGUAACGGCUCACCAAGGCAAAGAUGGGGUAUGGGGGUGUGAGAGCAUGCCCCCACCUACU